This 440-nucleotide ribosomal RNA is filed under the name uncultured bacterium. RNAcentral describes it as "partial 16S ribosomal RNA". It matches the Rfam family "Bacterial small subunit ribosomal RNA", at positions 338 to 795 of the family's 1533-position model. The record is from RNAcentral.
GCUACGGGUGGCAGCAGUGGGGAAUAUUGCACAAUGGGGGAAACCCUGAUGCAGCGACGCCGCGUGAAGGAAGAAGUAUUUCGGUAUGUAAACUUCGAUCAGCAGGGAAGAAAAUGACGGUACCGGACUAAGAAGCCCCGGCUAAAUACGGGCCAGCAGCCGCGGUAACACGUAGGGGGCAAGCGUUAUCCGGAUUGACUGGGGGGACAGGGAGCGGAGGCGGAGAUGCAAGUCAGAAGUGAAAGCCCGGGGCUCAACUCCGGGACUGCUUUUGAAAAUGUGUUGCUAGAUUGCAGGAGAGGUAAUUGGCAUUCCUAUUGUAGCGGUGAAAUGCGUAGCUAUUAGGAGGAACACCAGUGGCGAAGGCGGCUUACUGGACUGUAAAUGACGCUGAGGCUCGAAAGCGUGGGGAGCAAACAGGAUUAGAUACCCCAGUAGUC